AGAGUUUGAUCCUGGCUCAGGAUGAACGCUGGCGGCAGGCCUAAUACAUGCAAGUCGCACGGGAUCGCGCCUUCGGGUGCGAGAGAGUGGCGGACGGGUGCGCAACGCGUAUGCAACCAGCCCCCCGCGGGCGGAUAGCCGGUGGAAACGCCGGAUAAUACGCCAUGAUGCCGUUUUGGGGCAUCCCAGAGCGGCGAAAGCGGAGACGCGGCGGGGGACGGGCAUGCGUCCCAUUAGCUAGUUGGCGGGGUGAAGGCCCACCAAGGCUUUGAUGGGUAGGGGAUCUGAGAGGACGGUCCCCCACACUGGCACUGAGACACGGGCCAGACUCCUGCGGGAGGCAGCAGUAGGGGAUAUUGGGCAAUGGGCGGAAGCCUGACCCAGCCAUGCCGCGUGAGGGGAUGAGGCCCUACGGGUCGUGAACCUCUUUUAUGCGGGGACAACGCCCCCCACGAGAUGGGGGUUUGAGGGUACCGCAGGAAUAAGCGCCGGCUAACUCCGUGCC
This 505-nucleotide ribosomal RNA is filed under the name uncultured organism. RNAcentral describes it as "SSU rRNA". It matches the Rfam family "Bacterial small subunit ribosomal RNA", at positions 8 to 509 of the family's 1533-position model. The record is from RNAcentral.